UGCGAGGAAAAAAACGUUCCAGUCAACUUCCAUAUCAUUUUUUUCAUUAUCUUUUUCCAUUUUUGAUUGUGUCUGUAUAACAAAGAAACGACACUUUACAUAGUGUGACUACCGUUCCUUUUAUGUGCUGGAUGAUGGUGCCGUGGUUCACCAUCUGAAUACAGACAGCCGACCCGCACUUCUUGUUGUUUUAGGACACGGGGAAGUCCCUGAGAGCCCCUUAUCUGACAGACGGUGUUUUCAGAGGAGUUUUCACCAACUAUGUGCAAGUGGUCGGCAGUACCAGUAAAACAGCCAUGUGUAUGAGUGGGUGUCGAGCUAUGUGCAUGACCCACGGAGGUGACAUGACGUGACAAGGGACCUUUACGCAGUGUCACAGCACAGCACAGCACAGCACCGCACCGCACAGCAAGGCUUCUCACUACGCUCUCUCCCCCGGCUGCGUGCAAGCCAUAUAUCUCACCUGUCAUCGCCUUUUAAAAUAAGUGUACUUGUUAGAUCUCAAGGUAUAUAUGGCCACUAUAAUAUCUCUACUGUGAUUCAGUGGCUGUAUAGUUGAUAUAUGUGUUUUUUAUGCUAUCCAUUGCAGUGAACCCUAACGUGAAUAACUGAAACUGAAAAAAUAUGUCUCCUUGACAUUUGGCAAGAGGUUGUCAAACUACUUACCAAACUUCCACUAUAUGUUUUAUUUAUUACAUGUUAUAAUGCAACAUCUCUUGGAUAUGAUGGACUUUUGUCAAGUUUGUUUUACUCAUGGACAUAAUCAUUCAAUGCUUUGGUUUUCCGUCUGGUGAGUGAAUGUCACUGGCGUCUACAGUCCUCUUCUUGACACACUGAUCAGAAAUAUGGCUUCAGUCAUUACGUGAAAAAUGUUUUCACUAUCUUUUUAUCUCUGAUAGGUAAGUGUGUUAAUUUAUUGUUCUGCAUGUCCAACGUGAUCUGUUGA
Long non-coding RNA from Engraulis encrasicolus (European anchovy), 946 nucleotides. RefSeq lists it as uncharacterized. NCBI's taxonomy places the organism in Eukaryota, Metazoa, Chordata, Actinopteri, Clupeiformes, Engraulidae. The record is from RefSeq and is a predicted model, not a curated record. The transcript has 3 exons.